AGUGAACGCUGGCGGUAGGCCUAACACAUGCAAGUCGAACGGCAGCACAUUAAGAGCUUGCUCUUACGGGUGGCGAGUGGCGGACGGGUGAGGAAUACAUCGGAAUCUACUUUUUCGUGGGGGAUAACGUAGGGAAACUUACGCUAAUACCGCAUACGACCUACGGGUGAAAGCAGGGGAUCUUCGGACCUUGCGCGAUUGAAUGAGCCGAUGUCGGAUUAGCUAGUUGGCGGGGUAAAGGCCCACCAAGGCGACGAUCCGUAGCUGGUCUGAGAGGAUGAUCAGCCACACUGGAACUGAGACACGGUCCAGACUCCUACGGGAGGCAGCAGUGGGGAAUAUUGGACAAUGGGCGCAAGCCUGAUCCAGCAAUACCGCGUGGGUGAAGAAGGCCUUCGGGUUGUAAAGCCCUUUUGUUGGGAAAGAAAAGCAGCAGGUUAAUACCCAGAUGUUCUGACGGUACCCAAAGAAUAAGCACCGGCUAACUUCGUG
This 492-nucleotide ribosomal RNA is filed under the name uncultured bacterium. RNAcentral's name for it is "partial 16S ribosomal RNA". It matches the Rfam family "Bacterial small subunit ribosomal RNA", at positions 29 to 507 of the family's 1533-position model. The record is from RNAcentral.